GACMUGGCUCAGGACGAACGCUGGCGGCGUGCCUAAUACAUGCAAGUCGAGCGGGGUUAUGUUAGAAGCUUGCUUUUAACAYAACCUAGCGGCGGACGGGUGAGUAACACGUGGCAACCUGCCCAUSAGACUGGGAUAACUACCGGAAACGGUAGCUAAUACCGGAUACAUCCUUUCCCUGCAUGGGGAGAGGAGGAAAGACGGAGCAAUCUGUCACUGAUGGAUGGGCCUGCGGCGCAUAGCUAGUUGGUGGGGUCAAGGCCUACCAAGGCGACGAUGCGUAGCCGACCUGAGAGGGUGAUCGGCCACACUGGGACUGAGACACGGCCCAGACUCCUACGGGAGGCAGCAGUAGGGAAUCUUCCGAAUGGGCGAAAGCCUGACGGAGCAACGCCGCGUGAGUGAUGAAGGUUUUCGGAUCGUAAAGCUCUGUUGCCAGGGAAGAACGUCUUGUAGAGUAACUGCUACAAGAGUGACGGUACCUGAGAAGAAACCCCGGCUAACUACGUGCCAGCAGCCGCGGUAAUACGUAGGGGGCAAGCGUUGUCCGGAAUUAUUGGGCGUAAAGCGCGCGCAGGCGGCUCUUUAAGUCUGGUGUUUAAUCCCGAGGCUCAACUUCGGUCGCACUGGAAACUGGGGAGCUUGAGUGCAGAAGAGGAGAGUGGAAUUCCACGUGUAGCGGUGAAAUGCGUAGAUAUGUGGAGGAACACCAGUGGCGAAGGCGACUCUCUGGGCUGUAACUGACGC
Molecule: ribosomal RNA, 747 nt
Filed under: Paenibacillus sp. IN203
Lineage: Bacteria; Bacillati; Bacillota; Bacilli; Caryophanales; Paenibacillaceae
Description: bacterial SSU rRNA
Rfam family: Bacterial small subunit ribosomal RNA
Source: RNAcentral